RNAcentral lists this ribosomal RNA (498 nucleotides) under uncultured bacterium. RNAcentral's name for it is "bacterial SSU rRNA". It matches the Rfam family "Bacterial small subunit ribosomal RNA", at positions 30 to 523 of the family's 1533-position model. The record is from RNAcentral.
AUUGAACGCUGGCGGCAUGCUUUACACAUGCAAGUCGAACGGGGUUGGGAGCUUGCUUCCAAUCUAGUGGCGAACGGGUGAGUAAUACAUCGGAACGUACCGUGUAGUGGGGGAUAACGUAGCGAAAGUUACGCUAAUACCGCAUACGAUCCACGGAUGAAAGCAGGGGACCUUCGGGCCUUGUGCUAUACGAGCGGCCGAUGUCUGAUUAGCUAGUUGGUGAGGUAAAGGCUCACCAAGGCAACGAUCAGUAGCGGGUCUGAGAGGAUGAUCCGCCACACUGGGACUGAGACACGGCCCAGACUCCUACGGGAGGCAGCAGUGGGGAAUUUUGGACAAUGGGCGCAAGCCUGAUCCAGCCAUGCCGCGUGUCUGAAGAAGGCCUUCGGUGUAAGGACUUUGUCUAGGGAGCGAAAUACCUGGUGGCUAAUAUCCACCGGGAUGAGAGUACCUGAAGAAUAAGACAACCGGCUAACUACGUGCCAGCAGCCGCGGUAA